This 948-nucleotide long non-coding RNA is filed under the name Felis catus (domestic cat). Its description in RNAcentral is "lncRNA (ENSFCAG00000047241.1)". Lineage: Eukaryota; Metazoa; Chordata; Mammalia; Carnivora; Felidae. The record is from RNAcentral.
UCGAGCCCCAAAUCAGGCUCUGUGUUGAGCAUGGAACCUACUUAUGAGUCUCUCUCUCUCUUUCUCUCUCUGCCUCUCUCCUGCUUGCAUACGCUCUCUCUCUCUCUUUCUAAAAAAGACCCCAAAAACAAAAAAAGAAAAAAAGAAAAGAAAAAACAAACAAAAAUUAUUUGAUACAACUAAAAGUCAAAGAAGUAACCUAAGAAAGGGAAAUACAAAUACUAUUGAGGUUCAGAGGAAGGAGAAAAUGGAUAAAGUUCUAGGAUGAACGAGAAUUUGAAAAAAUGGGAGUAAGUCAUUCAUUAUCCUAUUAAGUGAGGUUUGCCAUUGUUCUGACACAGAGGAUCAAGUCUUCCAACCUUUGGAUUGAUCUACGGACCCACAUUGGUGAAGAAAGAGUGUUCCUUCUAACAAAGCCUGCAAGCCUACCUGGGAAUGAGGAGUGAUGCAGCCUCAUAUCAAUCUCUAUACAAGAAGAGUUUCAAAAGGAUGCACUUCAGCACUUCUAUCAGAAAGGCUGAACACCCUAAGAAAUCCCCAGUACCCACAUGUAUCUCAUUGGCAAAGGAAACCAGUAAGCUGAAGAAAAUGUGGGAAGAUUUGGGUAGAGCAAUUCCGGACAUGAAGAAACAUACCAGACAGUUGCUGAACUUGGAGAAACGUUCUGACCACCAUUUUAGGCUUUCCUCACCUCUACUGUCCUACCAAAACGAUACUGUGACUCCGUAACAACAACAACCACAAAAAUUACAAACACAAAAACCUAAAGUUAUAACUGUUUUUAAAAUUGGAACGUGUCCUAAACUUGAUAGAUAUUGGCCUAAAACCACUUUUAGGAGGCAUAUUCCCAUGCGGCUCUCUAUUGUAUUGUGUGCAUAGAACUUUUCAGAACCACUGCUGAAGAAAUGGUUAAAUAAAGAAUUUUGCUGCUCCUGUUUUACUACUUUA